Molecule: non-coding RNA, 27 nt
Filed under: Mus musculus (house mouse)
Lineage: Eukaryota; Metazoa; Chordata; Mammalia; Rodentia; Muridae
Source: RNAcentral
UCCACACAGUGCGGCACGAGCCUCUCC